UGGCAGACGGGUGAGUAACAUGUAGGUAUCUUCCCUUUGCCCUGGAAUAACACGAGGAAACUUGUGCUAAUACCGGAUAAGUCUUUACAGAGAAAGCUUUAUGCACCAUUGGAUGAGCCUGCACUUGAUUAGUUUGUUGGUGGGGUAAUGGCCUACCAAGACUUUGAUCAAUAGCUGAUUUGAGAGGAUGAUCAGCCACAUUGGGACUGAGACACGGCCCAAACUCCUACGGGAGGCAGCAGUGGGGAAUCUUGCACAAUGGAGGAAACUCUGAUGCAGCGAUGCCGCGUGAGUGAAGAAGGCCUUUGGGUUGUAAAGCCCUUUCGUCGGGGAAGAAAAUGACUGUACCCGAAUAAGAAGGUCCGGCUAACUUCGUGCCAGCAGCCGCGGUAAUACGAAGGGACCUAGCGUAGUUCGGAAUUACUGGGCUUAAAGAGUUCGUAGGUGGUUGAAAAAGUUGGUGGUGAAAUCCCAGAGCUUAACUCUGGAACUGCCAUCAAAACUUUUCAGCUAGAGUUUGAUAGAGGAAAGCAGAAUUUCUAGUGUAGAGGUGAAAUUCGUAGAUAUUAGAAAGAAUACCAAUUGCGAAGGCAGCUUUCUGGAUCAUUACUGACACUGAGGAACGAAAGCAUGGGUAGCGAAGAGGAUUAGAUACCCUCGUAGUCCAUGCCGUAAACGAUGUGUGUUAGACGUUGGAAAUUUAUUUUCAGUGUCGCAGCGAAAGCGAUAAC
This 731-nucleotide ribosomal RNA is filed under the name uncultured Alphaproteobacteria bacterium. RNAcentral's name for it is "bacterial SSU rRNA". It matches the Rfam family "Bacterial small subunit ribosomal RNA", at positions 96 to 864 of the family's 1533-position model. The record is from RNAcentral. Lineage: Bacteria; Pseudomonadati; Pseudomonadota; Alphaproteobacteria.